This 787-nucleotide long non-coding RNA is filed under the name Mytilus galloprovincialis (Mediterranean mussel). Lineage: Eukaryota; Metazoa; Mollusca; Bivalvia; Mytilida; Mytilidae. The record is from RNAcentral.
CCCCGCCGCAAGUGGAUAAUAUUAAUAGUGUAAAAAUAUGCAAGUGUUCGGUAAACAGGAAGUUGUCGAGUGAUGAAUCUGAAAACGCAUCACACGGUAUAGCUGACUUAUAAAAAUCCUGAAACCAAAUUUCAGAAAUCCUUGUAUUGUAGUUCCUGAGAAAAAUGUGACGAAAAUUUUUAACUUGGUUAUCAUGUGUAAAAUCAUGCAAGUGUUCGGUAAACAGGAAGUUGUCGAGUGAUGAAUCUGAAAACGCAUCACACGGUAUAGCUGACUUAUAUAAAUCCUGAAACCAAAUUCAGAAAUCCUUGUAUUGUAGUUCCUGAGAAAAAUGUGACGAAAAUUUUCAACUUGGUUAUCAUGUGUAAAAUCAUACAAGUGUUCGGUAAACAGGAAGUUGUCGAGUGAUGAAUCUGAAAACGCAUCACACGGUUAUGCUGACUUAUAUAAAUCCUGAAACCAAAUUUCAGAAAUCCUUGUAUUGUAGUUCCUGAGAAAAAUGUGACGAAAAUUUUCAACUUGGCUAUCAUGUGUAAAAUCAGACAAGUGUUCGGUAAACAGGAAGUUGUCAAGUGAUGAAUCUGAAAACGCAUCACACGGUAUGGCUGACAUAUAUAAAUGUUGAUACCAAAUUACAGAAAGGGUGGAUGUGUAGUUCCUGAGAAAAAUGUGACGAAAGUUUCAUGGGACGGACUGACUGACGGACGGACUGAUGGACGGACGGACGGACUGACAGACAGAGUUAAAACAGUAUACCCCCCCUUUUUUAAAGCGGGGGUAUAAUGAA